Molecule: small nuclear RNA, 98 nt
Filed under: Sorex araneus (European shrew)
Lineage: Eukaryota; Metazoa; Chordata; Mammalia; Eulipotyphla; Soricidae
Source: RNAcentral
AUAGAUUAUCUAGUGUUCAUUUAAACUAAAAUUGAAACAAAACAGAGAUUAGCAUGCACAAGCAUGAUAUACAAAUUCAUGACGCACUCCAAACUUUU